CGCACAUUGCGCCCUUUGGUAUUCCGAAGGGCAUACCCGUUCGAGCGUCAUUACACCACUCAAGCCCGGCUUGGUAUUGGGCGGCGAGGUCUUCUCGCGCCCCAACUUCUCUGGCGGGAUCGACUCCUGAUUGCAAGCGUUGUAGCAAUGCAACACUGGAGUUUCGGUCUGCGCCGUUAAAAACAGAACUAGGUUGACCUCGGAUCGGGUAGGGAUACCCGCUGAACUUAA
RNAcentral lists this unclassified non-coding RNA (231 nucleotides) under Passalora sp. RNAcentral describes it as "partial contains 5.8S ribosomal RNA, internal transcribed spacer 2, and large subunit ribosomal RNA". The record is from RNAcentral. Lineage: Eukaryota; Fungi; Ascomycota; Dothideomycetes; Mycosphaerellales; Mycosphaerellaceae.